GUGUGAUCAACUGCUACUGAAAUUGUGAGAAGGAGAGAUGCUACAUCUGGAUGAAGACAAGUGCCUGAGUCCAGUGUUAUUAGGUGCUGAAUAUUGGUUCCAAUACAGAACAUGUUUGAGGUUACAUUAUAAUAUUUCAAGUCUCCCGCCAUCCAUGACAUUCAGCAGGCUGGGGGGAACCUAACAUCUGAUACAGUGACACACCACAUGGACCAUGAUUGGGAAGCUGAAACAGAAGAUACAGAACUUCUGUCUAACUGAAUACGAAUGCUGCAGUGCAUCACAU
This is a long non-coding RNA of Hemicordylus capensis (graceful crag lizard), 286 nucleotides long. RefSeq lists it as uncharacterized. The transcript is spliced from 3 exons. NCBI's taxonomy places the organism in Eukaryota, Metazoa, Chordata, Lepidosauria, Squamata, Cordylidae. The record is from RefSeq and is a predicted model, not a curated record.